UACGGAGGGUGCAAGCGUUGUUCGGAUUUACUGGGCGUAAAGCGCGCGCAGGUGGGUGUGCAAGUCGGAAGUGAAAUCCCAGGGCUCAACCCUGGGGCUGCUCCCGAAACGGCACGCCUAGGGACUGGUAGAGGCUGGUAGAAUUCCCGGUGUAGCGGUGGAAUGCGUAGAGAUCGGGAAGAAUACCUGUGGCGAAGGCGGCCAGCUGGGCCAGAUCCGACACUGAGGCGCGAAAGCUAGGGGAGCAAACAGG
RNAcentral lists this ribosomal RNA (253 nucleotides) under uncultured bacterium. RNAcentral describes it as "partial 16S ribosomal RNA". It matches the Rfam family "Bacterial small subunit ribosomal RNA", at positions 524 to 776 of the family's 1533-position model. The record is from RNAcentral.